This 1012-nucleotide long non-coding RNA is filed under the name Cricetulus griseus (Chinese hamster). RNAcentral's name for it is "lncRNA (ENSCGRG00015036318.1)". Lineage: Eukaryota; Metazoa; Chordata; Mammalia; Rodentia; Cricetidae. The record is from RNAcentral.
CUGCGCCAGAGCAAACCAUCCUUUGGGGAGACCCCGCCUCUCGGACCGCCUAGUACCGCCUGAGCAGCGAGGUUGUCUCGGAUCCCCGCCUGUGCCCGAAGUCAGAACGCAGAGCCACGCCCCCACUGGUUUGUUCUGGACCAUUUCCAUGGGCACGUUAACCACGUUUGAUAUUGAUAUAUCAUGAAAGUUCAGAAGCAUCCCUCAGGAGCCUGGGAAUUCUCAAGGAAGAUCUGUCUCUAUAGGAGAACAGCCCUCUACUUUGAAAACCACCAGACAACAAACUCUACUGGCCUGGACUGAGGCAAACUGAACCUGUAAGGUAAAAUGUACAAGACCAUUUCCAGGUUUGAAAAGCUACCAAACCCCACCAAUCCCUGAGCAUGAAAUCCCACCAGUUCCUGGCUUGGCUUGAAAUGUCACCAAUCCCCAUCCUGGAAAUCUCCAUCCUGGAAAAGUCUUCCCCCAAGAAACCCUAUGUAGGCCUGUCUCCUGCUCAGUUCUCUGAUGCUUCUCACUCAAGGAGAGACAGACACUCUUUUGUAUCUCUUCCAAUAAAUCUAUUAUGUGAGGUUAUUGUGCCAUGUGACUACCAGGAUUCCUUUCCCUUCAGGAUUGUGACAUCUGCAUUAGGGAAAUUAUCCCUCUCAGGGCAGAGCUGUAACACUUCCACUGGGGAAACUUUCCCCUCACAAAAGCAACACUUCCACUGGGGAAACUUUUCCCCUCAGAAAAGCAACAUCUCUGUGGUGGUUUGAGAGAAAAUGGGCCCUAAAGGGAGUGACACUUUCAGGAGGCAUGGCCUUGUUGGAGGAAGUGCGUCACUUGUCACUGUGGGGGUAGGCUCUGAAGUCUCUUUUCUCAAGCUUCACUCAGUGUGACCAUCAGUUGACUUUCUGUUGCCUGCAAGAUGUAGAACUCUCAGCUAUUCCUCCAACAUCUGCUCAUCUCCAUGCUCCCCACCAUGAUGAUAAUGGACUGAACUUCUGAAACUGUAAGGGAGCACCCCCCC